Transfer RNA from Absidia repens, 82 nucleotides. It matches the Rfam family "tRNA". From Rfam's summary of the family: Transfer RNA (tRNA) molecules are approximately 80 nucleotides in length. Their secondary structure includes four short double-helical elements and three loops (D, anti-codon, and T loops). Further hydrogen bonds mediate the characteristic L-shaped molecular structure. tRNAs have two regions of fundamental functional importance: the anti-codon, which is responsible for specific mRNA codon recognition, and the 3' end, to which the tRNAs corresponding amino acid is attached (by aminoacyl-tRNA synthetases). tRNAs cope with the degeneracy of the genetic code in two manners: having more than one tRNA (with a specific anti-codon) for a particular amino acid; and 'wobble' base-pairing, i.e. permitting non-standard base-pairing at the 3rd anti-codon position. The record is from Rfam. NCBI's taxonomy places the organism in Eukaryota, Fungi, Mucoromycota, Mucoromycetes, Mucorales, Cunninghamellaceae.
GUCAGUUUGUCCGAGUGGUUAAGGAGUGUGACUAGAAAUCACAUAGGCUCUGCCUGCGUAGGUUCAAAUCCUGCAGCUGACG